Paramacrobiotus metropolitanus is the source of this 3468-nucleotide long non-coding RNA. RefSeq lists it as uncharacterized. The transcript has 4 exons. Lineage: Eukaryota; Metazoa; Tardigrada; Eutardigrada; Parachela; Macrobiotidae. The record is from RefSeq and is a predicted model, not a curated record.
UUUCUCCACCAUGGAAUUUAUGGAUCUGUUGACAUCCCAACGACCGCCAGCCGCUUGUUUGUUUGGGCUGGAUAAGCUAGUGUUGAGCAAGCUCUGGACCUCGAUGUGGCUGGUUUUUUGAUUAAACAUGGAGAUCAAAUUCGUGCCAAUGUGGGGGGAAUUAUUUCUGCUGAUUAUUGCUGAAAUGCUGUUUUACAAGUUAUUUCAUUGGUGGCCGCCAGUAGCGCAAAAUGUUGAGAAUACCUUGCAAAUCAUUUCGCGUACGAAUCAAACGUUUCAAUUUUACCGGCCCGUUCCUGGUACAGCGCAGUCCAAUGUUCGCUUUCUUGGUCGGCUGGGUCGGUAUUCACUACACAUGCUCCUGGAAAAGGUGCCAAUGUCGCUGGAACUUGAUCGCUGGCGUAGACCCCACGAAAUACCGCCGUGGUCAGAGGAUUUCCAUGGAGUGCUGAGGGUCAGUGGUCCACGGCCGGUAUGUCCUGGAGUCAGGUCGAAUCCGAAAAUGGUUUAUCCGUCGUUAUAUUGGGUCCGAUUGAAAGGCAAGCCGCCUUGCAGGCUGGGUCGGUGUCCCAGAGUGUCUAGUAGCCCGUCGUAGCACUCCGGAGACAAACUGCGGUCAAAAUCGGCAGUGUAUGGUUUUGUCGGAUAGCUUUGGCCGUCAACUUCGACGCUGAAUUGUGUAUCGUUGAAGUGUUGGAAGUUAAAAGGAUUUUUUUUUGCGAUCCGUGAAAGUCUUCGCUGUCAACAAAGCCAAUAAAGACCACCUUUGGAAUCUGACCAAUUUGCAAAUUGCUGACAACAGUGCUCUGGGAGUUCUCCGGCUACGGCAGUCAAAAAAUCCGGUGAUAGAAUGUAGCGGCGGAUAGACAAGAGAGCGUUCCGGAUAAAUGGUUUGAAUGUCUUGGUGGUGUCCGUAUCCCAUACGCGUAGGGCAAAUUCCGGUCGGCUAACCACUAGGCGAAUGUUGACGGGAACACCAGUACACAGCGGUUUGCUCUGAUCAAAAGGGUCCAAAAACAGUUUGCCGGAAAGCUGCACGUACUGGCCGGCAUUAAAUAGUGCUGCUCGAUUUUUUUAACCGUUGUUGGCUGUUUCACUGUUAAAAGACCCCGGGCUGUCGUAAUAGAAUGCGGCGGAUGUCAGUUGGCUUUGUUGGGCGUCCAGUGUGUGAGACAGCAGUGAUUCCAAGUAGGCUCGGUAGGGAUAAAAUGUAGCGGCAUCCGAGAUCAGUCGGUUGGCUACGGUCACAUGGCAAGAGGAGAACAGGGAGUGUAAAAAAUUGUUGACUGGUGCCACACUAUCCGCUGUCGUGAUCAGUUCCCAUUCGCCGGUGGUUUCGCGGACUUUAAUACCCACUUCUAAUUCCAGAAUCAUAUCCGCUAAACUCAGCAGUCCGGAGGUGCUUGGUGGGAUGAAAAAGUUGAUAUCGCCGGCGGAACCAUUGUCUGUCAAAACCGUUGUGGGAUUAAGCUUUUCGUGUUCCGUGCGCCAGCGGUCCGUUAAGGUGGCUGGUAGUGCAAAGAGCUGGUUCUCCAGUUGCAUGGCCGGCUCAGAAUUUUCCAUCAUCAGCAUGGCCAUUUUUUAAAAGAAAUCGGGAAUAUUGGUUGGCGGUAUACGUUUCACUCGAACAACUUUGUGUUGAACUCGUCGCUUCUUUCGAACACCUUCUCCUUCCUGGGUAGCGAAACGUUUUUCUAUGGCUGUUCCCGCAUGUGAGGCUACCUCUUUAAUAGCCCCGGUCGCCGCUUCUUGCAGAUUUGGUGUAGCCGCUUCAAGAGCAGCUUUGGCAUGAGGUGCGGCUUUCCGUAAUAUUGGUUGAACAAAUCCUGAUAUUUUGGCAAACAGAUUUUUCAAAAUCUGCGGGAAACCCGAUCCGUUUUGAAGAGUGCCACGGUAGCGAAUGAGUGCGCUGCCACCCGUCUGACUCAAAAGGACGUUCUCGUAUCGCCAGGGAUCCGGCACGUACUCCACCAGAGGCAUUUUAGUAAAGUCGUUGCGGUCGAAAAUGUAGCUUUACCAGAGAUUUUCCAGUUUGGAACUUGGCGUCGUCUCCCAGGUCGUUGGCAAUCGUCAACUUUAUGGUUUCGAAAUGUUGUCGUAAUACUGGAACAUAGUGAGGAAUGUCGAAUCUCGCCUCGACAAUUUGAUUCACUUCUCCUCUAAUAGGCACGGAACGUAAAAACUGCGCUGCGGUAUCUCCAAUCAAGCUGUAGUCGGCCACAUCACUGUAGACAAACAGGCUUUGAUUGCCCAGAAGAGUGUUGACCGGUCGCUCUGAAAUGAAAGUGGUCAGCUUUGGAUUUGGAGGCUUGGCUAGAAACGACAGGUACUGGAUACCGACGUCUUUUCUCCAUAGGAAAUGGACCAAUAAAUGCAUUGCUGUUACUCUCCAACGGUACAUCCGGUUUUAGAACGCUAUGUUCAAAUCCCAGCAUCUUUUGUAUAUCUAUCGACGAAGGAAGAAAAACGACGGAAACCCGAUCGUUGCCAAUAUUCAAUCGGACCCGAUGACUGGUGGGGGUCAGCAAUUGUACAGUAAAGGCUCUGUCGGCAGUCAGCGCGCUCUUGUCAGCGCGCACGGUAUCGUCUACCAUGUACGAUUCAACUCUUGGUACCAGUGAAUUAAUGGUCUUCAGUAAUAAUUCCGCAUUUUUGUAAUUUCCAGGAGAUAUAGUAAUCUCGUCCGUGUGAACCACUUGGUCAGCAGACUCCAGGAACUUUGCUUCGUCUUUCUUUAACUUGAAUUCCCGUACAAUGUGGACCUCAAUCUUCUGCUCAACGAGAAGAGUAAAAAAGGAGUUGAGGUACUGUAGUUCAACCAGGGCCAUUUCCCAUUUUCCUUUCAGGAUAAAGGGAUGCUUCAGUUUGGUCGUCCAGUUGGACGAAGUGUUGCUGGGGUCCGUAGCGAUAUCGCUCGGCAGCGUCACGUAGAACGGUGCUCCUUCAUACAUGAUGCCUUGAUCCAGGAACCGUGUUCAGGUCCGUAACCUAACCAACGUACUAGUAUCUUUGGACCACGGCGUGUAAUGAUGCGGUCAAUGGUAUGUUCCUUCUGCUCCGGGUGCGAUACUUUGGAGAGUUCGUGUUCGUAGAAUAUCCCUUGGAUGGGUUGGUUUUGGUAGUCCAGUAGUCGGUAAACCGGUACGGUAUGCGAAAUGACUUUACUGAUGUAAAAAACCUCCUCCUUAAACCGAUACGAUACCUUUUCCACCUUGGUUUUGUGCACGGCAAUGCGAACCGCAUCGCCGACCUUGAACCGAGGUCGCCGCGCCUCUUUAGUAGGAUGCAACUUGUUGAAUACCGCUAGCGAAUUGUCUUGUGUGACGUCAACCGGUCGCAGCCCAUGGGUACGAUGUUUGGAAUGGUUAUACGAGUACACCAAGUCUUGCAGUUUGUCAAUGUAUCGCGUCGACACUCGCGCUCGAAACAAACGAAACAUCCGUGUUUUGAUGGUGCGGAUGACGCGUU